CGUGCGUUAUCGAUAAUGUUCGGUGCCUGGAGAAAAUUGACAAUUGACAAGAGAAUUAAUUGUUUAAUAUUUUUGACUUUUUAGUUCGUUUAAUUUAAUAAUUACUAAAACCAGUAGUUCGAAAGAUAUAUUUAAUAAUAAAAAUCUAAAAAAUUAAUUAUCUAUUAACGUGGAUUUGGACGACAAUAGGUUUUUAGUUUGUGAUGUUUCAUGUGAUGAUCAUUUUCAUGUUCAUCGUCUUUGAAUUGACAUGAGGAUAUCUAUGGAAAAUUAACUAAUCUGAAAGUAAGCCAACAUAUCGUUUGUCCUUUGUGUGCUAAAGAAAAGAUUUUCUUUUCGCAUCAUGAGGAAGUAUUACAUCAAUUAAAAAAUGUUAGGAAGUUGAUUACUUGUCAUGGAAAAGUAUACCAAUGGAAAUUAUUUGUUAAAGAAGUAUAAUUCUAAGGGUUUUAAGAAUAAAUUGGUUGAACCCAAAAUCUGGAGGAAGUACCUAUAUCCAUACACAGAAUAUGCCCAUUAAGAAUACUAGUCCAAAUUUGCUUUAAUGGAACGAUUAGGGCCCAAUAUAUUUGAAACUCAUGUUGGACGUAGUA
This 593-nucleotide long non-coding RNA is filed under the name Sitophilus oryzae (rice weevil). RNAcentral's name for it is "uncharacterized LOC115877928". Lineage: Eukaryota; Metazoa; Arthropoda; Insecta; Coleoptera; Curculionidae. The record is from RNAcentral.